GAUGAACGCUAGCGGCAGGCCUAACACAUGCAAGUCGAGGGAGAGGUUACCUUCGGGUAACCAAAACCGGCGCACGGGUGCGUAACGCGUAUACAAUCUGCCUUUCACAUAGGGAUAGCCCGAAGAAAUUUGGAUUAAUACCUAAUGGUAUAUAAGAGCGGCAUCGUUUUUAUAUUAAAGCUACGGUGGUGAAAGAUGAGUAUGCGUUCUAUUAGCUAGUUGGAGAGGUAACGGCUCCCCAAGGCGACGAUAGAUAGGGGUUCUGAGAGGGAUGUCCCCCACACUGGUACUGAGAUACGGACCAGACUCCUACGGGAGGCAGCAGUGAGGAAUAUUGGACAAUGGUCGGAAGACUGAUCCAGCCAUGCCGCGUGCAGGAUGAAGGUCCUAUGGAUUGUAAACUGCUUUUGUAAGGGAAGAAUAAGGAGUACGUGUACUUUGAUGACGGUACCUUACGAAUAAGCAUCGGCUAACUCCGUGCCAGCAGCCGCGGUAAUACGGAGGAUGCGAGCGUUAUCCGGAAUCAUUGGGUUUAAAGGGUCCGUAGGCGGGCUGAUAAGUCAGAGGUGAAAGCGCUUAGCUCAACUAAGCAACUGCCUUUGAAACUGUCAGUCUUGAAUGAUUGUGAAGUAGUUGGAAUGUGUAGUGUAGCGGUGAAAUGCUUAGAUAUUACACAGAACACCGAUAGCGAAGGCAUAUUACUAACAAUUUAUUGACGCUGAUGGACGAAAGUGCGGGUAGCGAACAGG
RNAcentral lists this ribosomal RNA (749 nucleotides) under uncultured Capnocytophaga sp. Its description in RNAcentral is "bacterial SSU rRNA". It matches the Rfam family "Bacterial small subunit ribosomal RNA", at positions 28 to 776 of the family's 1533-position model. The record is from RNAcentral. Lineage: Bacteria; Pseudomonadati; Bacteroidota; Flavobacteriia; Flavobacteriales; Flavobacteriaceae.